UUACGGUGGCCGUCAGGGGUCACUGCCUUGCAAUGAAAGAAAACACAUGCAAAUAGAAAAAACACCAGCAAAUCAAGAAAACAUCUUCAUCAGUUUGACAACACAUGCGCUGCAGAUAUCGCAACACAUCCAAAUACAGAAACGCGUUGCAAAUAUCACAACACGGAAAAAAAACAGAAACACGUUCCAAAUCUCACAACACAUCCAAAUACAGAAACGCGUUGCAAAUUCUUACAACACGACCAAAAACAGAAACGCGUUCCAAAUCUCACAACACAACGGAAGUGUUUCAGGGGGGUCACAAAAAGUGAUGCACCGGUCUGAGAAGUGUUUUCGGUUUACAUUCAAUUCGUCCGUGGAGCUUUUGUGAGUUACAUCGAUGUAAAUGAAAGCUAGAGGACCUGUUUUAACAUUGAGGGAAUCCUGACCAGAUGCAUAGUGUGAUAUGGUAGCAUGAUUUAAAUGAACUGCAAGAGCCUGUAGAGAGGGAUAAAGUCUACUGAGAGGAACACAGUACAGAAAGGAGCCGGUUCCAUUGUUAAAAUGCCCACUUAUACCAAAUUGUUUCCACCUACAUCCUCUGGCAAUACAUACAGAAGUGUAAGCUACAGGACGUAAAGAUUGAGGAACCGUUUUAUCCAGCAGCCCUCAGUGUUCAAUAGUGAUAUAUCGGGCCGACAUUUGCGAGUUUUAUGUGUAUCGGCAUCGGCCGAUACAUGGCUGCCGUGUUUGCCGAUUUUUCCGGCAUAAUUUACAGACAGAGUGCUGGAACCCGCAAGCGAUUGCAGGUCAUGUGACUAAAAACAACCAACCUUUUCACGACAACAUUGAAAGCUCGGCUUAACAGCUGAUCAUAGCUGAACAAAGUGGGUUUUUUUUCAUCUCUAUGGGGCGGUUUCCUGGACAGGGAUUAGACUAGUCCUAGACUACAAUAAAUGUAAGAACUGUGCAAACUAAUAACAUCUCUUUUUAACAACAUGCCAUUUUUUACAUAAUUUUUAUGAUGUAAAUUGAGUGAGCAAAACCAGUAUCGGCUC
This is a non-coding RNA of Misgurnus anguillicaudatus (oriental weatherfish), 1037 nucleotides long. Lineage: Eukaryota; Metazoa; Chordata; Actinopteri; Cypriniformes; Cobitidae. The record is from RefSeq and is a predicted model, not a curated record.